RNAcentral lists this ribosomal RNA (275 nucleotides) under uncultured bacterium. RNAcentral's name for it is "partial 16S ribosomal RNA". It matches the Rfam family "Bacterial small subunit ribosomal RNA", at positions 333 to 624 of the family's 1533-position model. The record is from RNAcentral.
UUGUUCCUACGGGACGCAGCAGUGGGGAAUAUUGCACAAUGGGGGGAACCCUGAUGCAGCGACGCCGCGUGAGUGAAGAAGUAUUUCGGUAUGUAAAGCUCUGUCAGCAGGGAAGAAGAAAGACGGUACCUGACCAAGAAGCCCCGGCUAACUACGUGCCAGCAGCCGCGGUAAUACGUAGGGGGCAAGCGUUAUCCGGAUUUACUGGGUGUAAAGGGUGCGCUGGCGGCUCUGCAAGUCAGGCGUGAAAGCUAGGUGCUCAACCCCUAAACUGC